AGAACGAACGCUGGCGGCGUGCUUAACACAUGCAAGUCGAACGUGAUCCGGAGCUUGCUCCGGUGAAAGUGGCGCACGGGUGAGUAACGCGUGGAUAACCUGCCCUGGUAUCUGGGAUAACAUCUCGAAAGGGGUGCUAAUACCGGAUAAGCCUCCGGGAUCUUCGGAUUCUGCAGGAAGAGAAGGCCUCUAUUUAUAAGCUUUCGUAUCAGGAUGGGUCCGCGUACCAUUAGCUAGUUGGUGGGGUAAUGGCCUACCAAGGCGACGAUGGUUAGCUGGUCUGAGAGGAUGAUCAGCCACACUGGAACUGAGACACGGUCCAGACUCCUACGGGAGCAGCAGUGGGGAAUUUUGCGCAAGUGGGGAAACCCUGACGCAGCAACGCCGCGUGAGUGAUGAAGGCUUUCGGUCGUAAAGCUCUGUCAGAGGGAAGAAAGUGGAACUGGCUAAUAUCCUAGUUUCUGUACGUACCUACGAAAGAAGACACCGGACUAACUCCGUGACCG
RNAcentral lists this ribosomal RNA (506 nucleotides) under uncultured soil bacterium. Its description in RNAcentral is "bacterial SSU rRNA". It matches the Rfam family "Bacterial small subunit ribosomal RNA", at positions 26 to 511 of the family's 1533-position model. The record is from RNAcentral.